AAUCUGCCCAGUAGUGGGGGAUAACCUGUGGAAACGCAGGCUAAUACCGCAUACGUCCUACGGGAGAAAGCAGGGGAUCUUCGGACCUUGCGCUAUUGGAUGAGCCCAAGUCGGAUUAGCUUGUUGGUGGGGUAAUGGCCUACCAAGGCAACGAUCCGUAGCUGGUCUGAGAGGAUGAUCAGCCACACUGGGACUGAGACACGGCCCAGACUCCUACGGGAGGCAGCAGUGGGGAAUAUUGCACAAUGGGCGAAAGCCUGAUGCAGCCAUGCCGCGUGUGUGAAGAAGGCUCUAGGGUUGUAAAGCACUUUCAGUAGGGAGGAAAUGUUAACGGUUAAUACCCGUUAGCUUUGACGUUACCUACAGAAGAAGCACCGGCAAACUCCGUGCCAGCAGCCGCGGUAAUACGGAGGGUGCGAGCGU
This 423-nucleotide ribosomal RNA is filed under the name uncultured bacterium. RNAcentral describes it as "bacterial SSU rRNA". It matches the Rfam family "Bacterial small subunit ribosomal RNA", at positions 123 to 541 of the family's 1533-position model. The record is from RNAcentral.